This 274-nucleotide ribosomal RNA is filed under the name uncultured bacterium. RNAcentral's name for it is "partial 16S ribosomal RNA". It matches the Rfam family "Bacterial small subunit ribosomal RNA", at positions 523 to 796 of the family's 1533-position model. The record is from RNAcentral.
AUACGGAGGAUCCAAGCGUUAUCCGGAAUCAUUGGGUUUAAAGGGUCCGUAGGCGGGUUUGUAAGUCAGUGGUGAAAGUUUUCGGCUCAACCGGAAAAUUGCCAUUGAUACUGCAGGUCUUGUAUUAUUGUGAAGUGAUUAGAAUGUGUAGUGUAGCGGUGAAAUGCAUAGAUAUUACACAGAAUACCGAUUGCGAAGGCAGAUCACUAACAAUAUAUUGACGCUAAGGGACGAAAGCGUGGGUAGCGAACAGGAUUAGAUACCCUAGUAGUCC